CAAUAGCGUAUAUUAAAGUUGUUGCGGUUAAAAAGCUCGUAGUUGGAUUUCGGGGUGGCCUGCCUGGUCCACCGCAAGGUGAGUACUGGUCAGCCGCCCUUCCUCUCGAAAGCCCCGACUGCUCUUCAUUGCAGUGGUCGGGUAGUUCGGGACGUUUACUUUGAAAAAAUUAGAGUGUUCAAGGCAGGCUCUCGCCUGAAUACAUUAGCAUGGAAUAAUGGAAGAGGACCUCGGUCCUAUUUUGUUGGUUUCUAGGGCCGAAGUAAUGAUUAAGAGGGACAGUUGGGGGCAUUCGUAUUUAAUUGUCAGAGGUGAAAUUCUUGGAUUUAUGAAAGACGAACUAGUGCGAAAGCAUUUGCCAAGGAUGUUUUCAUUAA
This 377-nucleotide ribosomal RNA is filed under the name uncultured eukaryote. RNAcentral's name for it is "partial 18S ribosomal RNA". It matches the Rfam family "Eukaryotic small subunit ribosomal RNA", at positions 592 to 976 of the family's 1831-position model. The record is from RNAcentral.